GUUGGUACAUUUUAGCAAUGUGUACCGGGUUUCAGUAGACAAAAAUAUCCUUAUAUCAUGAAUUCUAAGUUUUAAGGUUAAGGGUAUUUUAAUAAUUUUCAUUCUCAAAAUUAAAAAAAUAGAAAAAGAAACCCCCAAACCCUUGCCCACUUCUCUCAACCCUUUCUCUUUCGUCUCUUUCACUUCAACUUUUUCUCUGUCAUCCCUACUCUAGCUCCAAUUGAAAAAAAUAAGAAACAUUUGCCUUAUUUUAAUAAUUUUCAUUCUCAAAACUAAAAAAAGAAACCCCUUACUCAUCUCCUUCAUCCCUCUCAAUCCUUUCUCCUUCAUCUCUCACACUCAAACAUUUUAUCUGUCAUCUCUACACUAGCCCCAACUAAAAAAACAAUAAUUAUUAAAUAAAAUGGUUAGAGAAAAAAAAUAAUUACAUAAAUAAAAAAAUUAAAGUACCUAAUUUUUUCUUUAUAUAAUUUUAAAUAAAAUUUCAAGAUUUAGAAUUUUUAUUGUUUGAUUUUAUUGAGAACUUUCUUGUAUUUUGAUUUGUUUUUUCUUUAGUAAAGGAAAACAAGUUAAUGAAUUUCUACCAAAAAAAAUUAAAUGGUCACGAAGCAAUGUUACGUAGUAGUCUUAGAAUGUAAAGGAAGGAUACUCAUAAGUCUUGGUGCAAGUUGUACCCGUCGGUUGUAAUAUAUACAGUGAAGAUAAUGAAACUAAAGAGAUUUUGAAUAAACUUUUUUCGGAAGGUGAAUAUGUCAAUGACUCAACUCUUUACAAAAGUAAAUCGUUUAAUAAUGAGUAUUUUUUUAGUUGAGGCUAGUGCAGAGAUGACAGAGAAAAUGUUUGAGUGAGAGUGAUGAAGGAGAAAGGAUUGAGAGGAAUGAAGGAGGUGAGUAAGGGUUUGGAGUUUCUUUUUUUAGUUUUGAGAAUGAAAAUUAUUAAAAUAAGGCAAGUGUUUCUGAUUUUUUUCAAUUGGGGCUAGAGUAGGGAUGAUAGAGAAAAAGGUUUGACUGAAAGAGAUGAAAGAGAAAGGAUUGAGAGGAAUGAGAGAGGUGGGUAAAGGUUUGGGGGUUUCUUUUUUAUUUUUUUAAUUUUGAGAAUGAAAAUUAUUAAAAUACCCUUAGCCUUAAAACUUAGAGUUCAUGAUAUAUAAGGGUAUUUUUGUAUACUGAAACCCGGUACACAUUNCUAAAAUGUACCAACUGA
This 1203-nucleotide long non-coding RNA is filed under the name Vigna radiata. RNAcentral describes it as "long non-coding RNA (VRAD_LNC007845)". The record is from RNAcentral. Lineage: Eukaryota; Viridiplantae; Streptophyta; Magnoliopsida; Fabales; Fabaceae.